AGGGCGGGUCCGCGGCCGCCAGGUGAGCCCGCCCCGGUAGCCCCGCGCGUGGUCCGGUCGGCAGAGGCUUGGCGAGCCGCCAUCCCGCCCCUGCCCCAGGCCCACCUUCCCCCACCGCCCAGGCCCCGCUGGCCUCCCCGGCUCAUCUCGCACCCGGCGCAGACCCCAUGCCCUCCCGUCUCGGCAGCGCCCCCCGCUUCGCCUCCCGGUCCGGCCCCAGCUCGACGGGCGGAACCGGGUGCGCACAGCAGCCCCGCGCCCUGGCCCAGGGCCAGCGGGUUAACGCUUAACUACGCUCCAGGAGCUGUAGGCUCCAGCCGCGCCUCGAGUCCCCAACCUUUGGCCCCGGAAGCCAAAAAGAGGAGCGGACGGUGAAGGAGUCAGGGUGAGUUCCAGAGGCCGCUCCCAGAUUUUCCCUCCCGAGCCUGGCCAGACUGGGCGUAUGUCCGACAUCUCCACCUCUGACCCCGGGCGCUCUGGGCUGAGCUGGGGGCGAUGGUGGUGGGCAUCGACGCCGUCUUACCUGGACGCCCACAGUGGACCUGACCUGGCCGAGGGGUGGGGGUGGGGUUGGGAACUACGGAGGCGCUCGGGGUUCCUGGGUAAGUUCCCGCGGACUGCUCGCUCCUUGCCGGGUGCUACAAUAGGCGUAUCCGGUGUCCCUGGAGCCAAGCUAGGGGACGGGAUCAACGUGGGGGCGGGGCAGCGUGCCCGAAGGGCAUUGCUGCAUUCCAGGUGUUGGGGAACGCAGUGAGCGAAGGCGUGGAGGUGAGGGAGAAUGUGGAAGGCGUGCGCCCGGCCGGGGAACCCUGGGCUUUGUCCUGUGGGCAGCUGGAGCGGCUGGGCGUUCCCGGCUGCGACAACGCCCACCUGGCCCCGCACCUGGGCCUGCUCGCAAUCCAGCGGCGCCUCUCCGCAUCUGCCUUCACGGAUCUCAGCCCCAGCAGAGCCCUUGUGCCGGACCCUGGGGCGGGAUUGCGAGUUCAGAGGGAGUCAAGAGGCGCCCUUGAGUAUGGCGGGAGCCCCACCCCAAGCACCUGGUGGGAACUCACUUGCCUAGGGAGAGAGCAGGGCAGUGAGCACUCCGGGCUGGCUCCCAGGAAAGACCCUCCGGCAGGAGCUUGGAUUGCAAGGUUGGGGAGGAGGGAGGCCAGGGGAGGGACCUGCAGCCAGGUGAUCCGGGUGCCUGUAUUUCUUCCCAAGGAUAAUGUGAGUUGAUGCUGGCUGAGAUCUGCUCCGAUGAGGGUUUGAAAGAGAGAGCUCCGGGUGUCAAAGUCAGUGGAUGGCAAAACAUGCCUGGAGGGAGCAACCAGGCAUCCAACCACAGGCCCUGGGCUGGAGGGCGGGGGGGGGGGGGGGUGGAAGCAGAGGAAGGAGAGAGAAGGAAAUUUGGGAGGAAGAGUGGGCACGAACUGGCUGCCCAAUUGUGUGGGUGGGUAGGUGGCAGGGAGGGACUGGUUGUUCUGGGUCUGCCCCUCCGGCCCCACCACACCUGCUUCCAGGUGAGCUUAGGAAUUUCCCAGGCUUCCUCCCAGCUGGAGCCAGACGUGUCCCUCAGAGGCCCCAGCCCUGCCCAUCCUUUCCUGCCCUACCCAGGGCUUCUCUACCUUCUUGGCUUGGCCUGCUCCUUGUUCACACCUUGGUAAAUGACCCUUCACAAAAGUCAUUUUCUCUAUUUGUGCUUUUCUUUCUUUUGCCAGGACGCUUGACUUUCUCGACAGGGAGGGGGAGGCAAGCCUGGUGCCCAGUGCUCUGCCUGCACUGGUCAGUGCGCGUGGCUGUCACUUGGCUGGGAAGCUAGGCCAGGAGAGCAGCUGCAGCUGUGGAGGUCGGCAGUUGAGAGGUGGAGAGACCUGAGCACACUUGGGCCAGUCGUCCCGUGGCAUUUGGGAGCCCAGGACCGAGCCGGGGGGCAAGUGUGGGCAAUGCUUGGAGCCACAGAGUGGGGGUAGGGAAUUGGAGGGGUAGAGAGGACAACUCAAACCAAGCCAGGAACCCACAGAGGAGACCAGGAAAGGAAAACCAAGAAGGAGUGAGUCCCCAAUGCCCCCAAAUUGAUCCAUAUAUUGAAUGAUCCCCAGUAAAAGUAGCUCCAUGAUGAUUCCAAAGCCCUUAGGAAACUAAAGGUGCCAGGAGAAUGAAUAGACACGUCUCCAUAGAAGACACACACUGGUCAACAAGUACAUGGGAAAUGUCCAGCAUCCUCCAGGAAAUGCAAAGCAAAACCACAGUGAGAUCCCACCUCCCACCCGCUGGGACUGGGCAGAUGCAGUCCUGGCAAACCAGUCUUGGUGAGGAGCGGGGGUAUCAGAGCCCUGCUGCACUGAGAUACACACACACAAAAUGGAAUAGUAUUCAGUCUUAAAAAGGAAAGAAAUUCCAGUACUGGCUGCAACUUGGAUGGACCCUGAGGAUCCUAUGCUGAGUUAAAUAAGCCAGUCACAGAAGAACACGUACCAUACAAUCCCACUUAUGUGAGGUCCCUAGAGUAGUCACUUUCAUAGAGAUAGUAGCUGACAGGAGGAGCAUGGGGAGUGACUGUUUAAUGAAUACAGACUUGAAAUUUGGGAAGAGGUAAAAGUUCUGGAGAUGGAUGGUGGUGAUGGGUGGUGAUGAUGGACAUUGGAGAUGGGCAAUGGACAUGGAUGGUGGUGAUGGAUGGUAUAAAUGGAUAUUGGAUGUGGACAGCGGACGUGGACAGUGGAGAUAGAGGGUGGUGAUGGCUGGUGGACAUGGACAGUGAAGAUAGAGAGUAGUGAUGGAUGGUGGAGAUAGAGGGCGGUGAUGGACAGUGGAGAUAGAGGGUGGUGAUGGACAGUGGAGAUAGAGGGUGGUGAUGGACAGUGGACAUGGAUAGUGGAGACAGAGGGUAGUGAUGGACAGUGGAGAUAGAGGGUGGUGAUGGACAGUGGACAUGGACAGUGGAGAUAAAGGGUGGUGAUGGACAGUGGAGAUAGAGGGUGGUGAUGGACAGUGGAGAUAGAGGGUGGUGAUGGACAGUGGAGAUAGAGGGUGGUGAUGAACAGUGGAGAUAGAGGGUAGUGAUGGACAGUGGACAUGGACAGUGGAGAUAGAGGGUGGUGAUGGAUGGUGGACAUGGACAGUGGAGAUAGAGGGUGGUGAUAGACGGUGGACAUGGACAGUGGACAUGGACGGUGGGGACAGAGGGUGGUGAUGGACGGUGGACACAGACGGUGGAGAUAGAGGGUGGUGAUGGACGGUGGACACGGACAGUGGAGAUAGAGGGUGGUGAUGGACAGUGGAGAUAGAGGGUGGUGAUGGUCAGUGGAGAUAGAGGGUGGUGAUGGACGGUGGAGAUAGAGGGUGGUGAUGGACAGUGGACAUGGACAGUGGAGACAGAGGGGGUGAUGGACAAUGGACAUGGACAGUGGAGAUACAGGGUGGUGAUGGACGGUGGACAUGGACAGUGGAGACCGGGGGUGAUGAACAGUGGACAUGGACAGUGGAGACAGAGGGUGGUGAUGGACCCUGGAGAUAGAGGGUGGUGAUGGACAGUGGAGAUAGAGGGUGGUGAUGGGCGGUGGACAUGGACAGUGGAGAUAGAGGGUGGUGAUGGACAGUGGACAUGGACAGUGGAGAUAGAGGGUAGUGAUAGACGGUGGACAUGGAUAGUGGAGAUAGAGGGUGGUGAUGGACGGUGGACAUGGACAGUGGAGAUAGAGGGUGGUGAUGGACGGUGGACAUGGACAGUGGAGAUAGAGGGUGGUGAUGGACAGUGGAGAUAGAGAGUGGUGAUGGACAGUGGAGAUAGAAGGUGGUGAUGGACAGUGGAGAUAGAAGGUGGUGAUGGACAGUGGACAUGGACGCUGGAGAUAGAGGGUGGUGAUGGACAGUGGAGAUAGAGGGUGGUGAUGGAUGGUGGACAUGGACAGUGGAGAUAGAGGGUGGUGAUGGAUGGUGGACAUGGAUAGUGGAGUUGAAGGGUGGAGAUGGAGGGUGGUGAUGGAUGGCGGUGAUGGAGGGUGGAGAUGGAGGGUGGUGAUGGAGGGUGGAGGGUAGUGAUGGACAGUGGAGAUGGAGGGUGGAGAUGGUGGGUGGUGAAGGAGGUUGGUGAUGGAGGGUGGUGAUGGGGGGUGGAGAUGGAGGGUGGUGAUGGAUGGUGGAGAUGGAGGGUAAAAAUAGUUGGUGGUGAUGGAGGAUGGAGAUGGAGGGUGGAUGGAGGGUGGAGAUAGAUGGUGGUGAUAGAGGGUGGUGAUGGAGGGUGGAGAUGGUGGGUGAUGAUGGAGGGUGGUGAUGGAUGGUGGAGAUAAAUGGUGGUGAUGAAGGGUGGAGAUGGAGGGUGGAGAUGCAGGGUGGAAAUGGAGGGUGGUGAUGGACAGUAGAGAUGAAUGGUUGUGAUGGAUGGUGGAGAUGGAGGGUGGAAAUGGUGGGUGGUGAUGGAGGAUGGAGAUGGAGGGUGGAUGGAGGGUGGAGAUGGUGAGUGGUGAUAGAGGGUGGAGAUAAAUGGUGGUAAUGGACAGUGGAGAUGGACAGCGGAAAUGGAGGGUGGAGAUGCAGGGUGGAAAUGGAGGGUGGUGAUGGACAGCGGAGAUGAAUGGUAGUGAUGGAUGGUGGAGAUGGAGCAUGGAAAUGGUGGGUGGUGAUGGAGGAUGGAGAUGGAGGGUGGUGAUGGAGAGUGGUGAUGGAUGGUGGAGAUGAAUGGUGGUGAUGGACGAUGGAGAUGGAGGAUGGAGAUGGAGGGUGGAUGAAGGGUGGAGAUGGAAGAUAGUGAUGGAGGGUGGUGAUGGAUGGUGGUGAUGGAGGAUGGAGAUGGAGGGUGGAUGGAGGGUGGAGAUGGUGAGUGGUGAUGGAGGGUGGAGAUAAAUGGUGGUAAUGGACAGUGGAGAUGGACAGUCGAAAUGGAGAGUGGUGAUGGAUGGUAGUGAUGGAUGGUGGAGAUGGACAGCGGAGAUGAAUGGUGGUGAUGGAUGGUGGAGAUGGAGCGUGGAAAUGGUGGGUGGUGAUGGAGGAUGGAGAUGGAGGGUGGAGAUGGAGGGUGGUGAUGGAGGGUGGAGAUGAAUGGUGGUGAUGGAUGGUGGAGAUGGAGGAUGGAGAUGGAGGGUGGAUGAAGGGUGGAGAUGGAAGGUGGUGAUGGAGGGUGGUGAUGGAUGGUGGAGAUGAAUGGUGGCGAUGGACGGUGGAGAUGGAGGAUGGAGAUGGAAGGUGGUGAUGGAGGGUGGAGAUGCAGGGUGGAAAUGGAGGGUGGUGAUGGAUAGCAGAGAUGAAUGGUUGUGAUGGAUGGUGGAGAUGGAGGGUGGAAAUGGUGGGUGGUGAUGGAGGAUGGAGAUGGAGGGUGGAUGAAGGGUGGAGAUGAAUGGUGGUGAUGGACGGUGGAUGAAUGGUUGUGAUGGAUGUGGUGAUGGAGGGUGGUGAUAGACGGUGGAGAUGGAGGGUGGAGAUGGUGGGUGGUGAUGGAGGGUGGGGAUAAAUGGUGGUAAUGGACAGUAGAGAUGGACGGUGGAAAUGGAGGAUGGUGAUGGUUGUACAACAAUGUGAAUGCACUUGAUGUCACUCAACUGUUCACUUAAAAAUGGCAAACAUAGUAGUUUUUAUGUUACAUAUAUUUUACUACAAUAAAAAAAGAAUGAAAAGCCUAUAAAAUUCUGAAAAAUAAAAAAGGGGGCUUUAGCCCUGCCAGAGAGUAGAAUCCAUCAUAGAACAUCUUGCUAUGGGCAGUUGACUGGACACACACAUCAGAGCAGGUCUGUGUGAUCAUUUAGCAUAUGAUUAAUGGGGCAUUUAAAAUCCACGAGGGGCCGGGCGCAGUGGCUCACGCCCGUAAUCCCAGCACUUUGGGAGGCCGAGGCGGGUGGAUCACCUGAGGUCAGCAGUUCGAGACCAGCCUAACUAACAUGGGGAAACCCUGUCUCUACUAAAAAUACAAAAAAUAGCUGGGCAUGGUGGUGGGUGGCUGUAAUCCCAGCUACUGAGGUGGCUGAGGUGGGAGAAUCACUUGAACCUGGAAGCGGAGGUUGCAGUGAGCCAAGAUCGUGCCACUUCUCUCCAGCCUGAGCAACAAAGCGAGACUCUGUCUCAAAAAAUAAAUUAAUUAAUAAAUAAAUAAAUCCAUGAGGGAAAGGAUGUCAUUUAAAAAAGGGUGUGGCCAGGCACGGUGGCUCAUGCCUAUAACCAGCACUUUGGAGGCCGAGGCAGGUGGAUCACCUGAGGUCAGGAGUUUGAGACUGGCCUGGCCAGCAUGGUGAAACUCUGUCUCUACUAAAAAAAAAGGACAAAAUUAGCUGGAUGUGGUGGCGCAUGCCUGUAAUCCCAGCUACUUGGGAGGCUGAGGCAGGAGAAUCGCUUGAACCUGGGAGGCAGAGAUUGCAGUGAGCCUAGAUUACGCCAUUGUACUUCAGUCUGGGCAACGAGCGAAACUCCAUCUCAAAAAAAAUAAAAAUAAUAAUAAAAUAAUAAUAAAGGGUGGUGGAGCAACUGGGCGGCCUUGGUGUCUGGAAAAACAUGACGUUGGAUCCUGAUCCCACUCUUCACACGGAAAUAAAUUCCUUAUGGAGCGGAAAUAGAAAUGCAAAAACCCAAAACCACAAACAUAAUUUGGAAAAAACACAGGAGACUAUUUAAUGAUCUCAGGAUCCGGAAGGCUUUUCUGAGCACAACAAAAAAGCAGAAGCCACAGGGAACAUUGUUGAAAAAUUUAAUUAAAUUACAAAUGGCAACAUUUUGCCUAGACCACAUAUUUAAAAUCAAAGGAUGUGCAACAAACUGGGGAGAACCCAUGAUAACUCAGUGGUUAACAAAGGGCCGAUUCUCCCAACAAAGGGCUACUAUCAGUCAACGAGGAAAGGGCCAGGCCGCCGGACACGCUGCACAAAGGAAGCCCCAAUGGCUGCUGACUGCAAGAUGCUGAACCUCCGCCGUAAUCAGGGAUGAGCAAAUUGGCCCUACCGGAAGAUGGUAUUUUCACCUGUCAGACGUUUUCAUGAGAGACUGGGAUGGGAGGAGCGGGGAGACAGGCACUUCCCACAACUCCCAGCAGGAGUGUGAAUUUGGGGUGUCGGGGGAGGGGAUUUUGUUUCCACUAUAGCCUGGUACUGCUAGAAGGUUUUAAAUGAGGACACUAGCUGUACUAACAAUUACAAAAUUCGCAGUACUGUGUAGGGGAGAGAGGGUCGGGGGGGAGGGCAUGGGGCCCCCUACGCAAUGUGGUGGCGCCAAGGGAAUGCCUAGCGGGUCCCUUGGGCUUAAGGACAAGGAUGCCAAGGUUUUGGGGCCUGGCAGGCCGGAGUGGGUGCCUGGAGCUAGAGGUAGAAGGUGUAGGUGCCCCCUUCUGGGAACAAGGGGGUGAGAGGAGGGAGGGAAAAAGGGGUGCAGGGCGGGUCAGAGGGCUCCCUCCCCCCAACAGCUGACCCCCCAGCCCCAGCGCCCUGCUUUGCAGCCACGGCAUUCAGCAGCCUCCACCUGGGGCUGAGAUUGUGACCACCCUCAGGGACACGGGUUCAGGUCUGCUGUCUGCUGAACCUACGUUCUGCAGGAUUUGGUCCAGGGCUCUGGUGAAGAUGUAGGAGUUGGCCUGCGUCAGCGCCCGUCCCCGCUUUCCACAGCGAGCAAAGACCGUGGGAACCCUGAUGCCCCUUUGCAUUUGCGCUUCUGUACUUAGCUGCUAGUCUCAGGCAGUGAAAGCUUCAAGCCACCCGCAGAGCCCUGGAACUGGGGCAUUGGCUCUAGUGGGAAAAGGAGGCUUCCCACUGGCGACCCACCAUGACAGACCACAAAAGACAUGCAGGUCCCCACAGUCAGGCCCUGACACCCACUCUUCCUGCCUUCUUCUGCCUAGGCUUGCACAGCUGGGCAAGUGAGCGGGAGCCACGGGUUAGCUGAGAUCACCUGCGGCCAGGAACAGGGCCUUCCUGGAGGUGAGGACAAGCUCUGCUUCCUCCAGGAGCAGGUGCUGGAGCAGAGCGGCUCCCCCGUUCUACAAGUGUCCUCUGUGUGGCGGCCCAGGUCUGUGCGGGCCUGUCCAGCCCAGGAGAGGACAGAAGUCAUCUGUAGCCUGGGCCCCUGUGGCCCCCAGCGAGAGGCCCUGGUGGGACUGGUCUUUCUCAGCCUGUGCACCUGGGGCUGAAACAGGACUCAAAGAGGGAAAGUGGCCCAGGCAGGCCCUCCCCUCAGGCCUCCCCUCUCCCUGGCUGCUCUCCCAGGCUUCCCUGCUUUCCCUUCUGAGACCCCGACUACUGGACCCAGCCUUACUGCCAAGAUAAUUAUCCACAACAGCAGGAGCGCCCAGGCCCAUGAAGAUAAUCGCCUGCCCAGCACUGUGUCCACAUCCAGUUCAUCCCAGCUGAGACCCAAGUGCAGCUGAGGGGUGGGGGACACUCCUCAGCUCUCGAAUGAUGCCAACCCUCCAGGGCCUGGCUGGGAGCAGCUCAGUGCUUCCUGGCUCCGGGGCUGUGUUCCCUACGUCCCAUUCGGAGCUUCUCUCCUGAAGAAAACAGUGUCUGCCUGCACCCUUCUUAGAAAGCACCCUGACACGUGGCUACAAAGAGCAGAGAGCACAGUACCCUUCCCAGACACACACCAGCACCCCCACCCACUGCAUUUAAGCCACCACUGUCCCGCCGCAUUCAUCCCUCCUCUACCCCCUAAAUUCAUCUUUCAGUGGAACUCUGCGUUCAUCCCUCCACUCCCCGCUCCAUUCAUCCCUCCACUCCCUGCUCCAUUCACCCCUCCACUCCCCCCUCCAUUCACCCUUCCACUCCCCCCUCCAUUCAUCCUUCCACUACCCCCUAAAUUCAUCCUUCCACAGAACCCUGCGUUCAUCCCUCCACUCCCCGCUCCAUUCACCUCCACUCUCCCUCCAUUCACCCCUCCAAACCCCCCUCCAUUCACCCCUCCACUCUCCCCUCCCUUCACCCUCCACUCCCUGCUCCUUUCACCCCUCCACUCCCCCCCAUUCACCCUUCCACUCCCCCCUCCAUUCAUCCUUCCACUACCCCCUAAAUUCAUCCUUCCACAGAACCCUGCGUUCAUCCCUCCACUCCCCGCUCCAUUCACCUCCACUCUCCCUCCAUUCACCCCUCCAAACCCC
Molecule: long non-coding RNA, 9043 nt
Filed under: Homo sapiens (human)
Lineage: Eukaryota; Metazoa; Chordata; Mammalia; Primates; Hominidae
Description: non-protein coding lnc-AKT1-1:18
Source: RNAcentral